GGGGAUAAUCGGGAGAAAUCCCGUCUAAUACCGCGUAAUGCCGCGGGGCUGCAUGGCCCUGCGGCCAAAGGGAGCGAUUCCGGCAACGGAUGGGCAUGCGUGACAUUAGCUAGUUGGCGGGGCAACGGCCCACCAAGGCGACGAUGUCUAGGGGUUCUGAGAGGAAGGUCCCCCACACUGGUACUGAGACACGGACCAGACUCCUACGGGAGGCAGCAGUGAGGAAUAUUGGUCAAUGGGCGCGAGCCUGAACCAGCCAAGUCGCGUGAGGGAUGACGGCCCUACGGGUUGUAAACCUCUUUUGUCGGGGAGCAAAUUCCGCCACGUGUGGCGGAGUCGAGAGUACCCGAAGAAAAAGCAUCGGCUAACUCCGUGCCAGCAGCCGCGGUAAUACGGAGGAUGCGAGCGUUAUCCGGAUUUAUUGGGUUUAAAGGGUGCGUAGGCGGACUGUCAAGUCAGCGGUAAAAUACGGGGGCUCAACCUCCGCCCGCCGUUGAAACUGACGGUCUUGAGUGGGCGAGAAGUAUGCGGAAUGCGUGGUGUAGCGGUGAAAUGCAUAGAUAUCACGCAGAACUCCGAUUGCGAAGGCAGCAUACCGGCGCCCGACUGACGCUGAAGCACGAAAGCGUGGGUAUCGAACAGGAUUAGAUACCCUGGUAGUCCACGCAGUAAACG
This 675-nucleotide ribosomal RNA is filed under the name uncultured bacterium. RNAcentral describes it as "bacterial SSU rRNA". It matches the Rfam family "Bacterial small subunit ribosomal RNA", at positions 139 to 808 of the family's 1533-position model. The record is from RNAcentral.